Molecule: ribosomal RNA, 1100 nt
Filed under: Lactiplantibacillus plantarum
Lineage: Bacteria; Bacillati; Bacillota; Bacilli; Lactobacillales; Lactobacillaceae
Description: bacterial SSU rRNA
Rfam family: Bacterial small subunit ribosomal RNA
Source: RNAcentral
GUGCUUGCAUCAUGAUUUACAUUUGAGUGAGUGGCGAACUGGUGAGUAACACGUGGGAAACCUGCCCAGAAGCGGGGGAUAACACCUGGAAACAGAUGCUAAUACCGCAUAACAACUUGGACCGCAUGGUCCGAGUUUGAAAGAUGGCUUCGGCUAUCACUUUUGGAUGGUCCCGCGGCGUAUUAGCUAGAUGGUGGGGUAACGGCUCACCAUGGCAAUGAUACGUAGCCGACCUGAGAGGGUAAUCGGCCACAUUGGGACUGAGACACGGCCCAAACUCCUACGGGAGGCAGCAGUAGGGAAUCUUCCACAAUGGACGAAAGUCUGAUGGAGCAACGCCGCGUGAGUGAAGAAGGGUUUCGGCUCGUAAAACUCUGUUGUUAAAGAAGAACAUAUCUGAGAGUAACUGUUCAGGUAUUGACGGUAUUUAACCAGAAAGCCACGGCUAACUACGUGCCAGCAGCCGCGGUAAUACGUAGGUGGCAAGCGUUGUCCGGAUUUAUUGGGCGUAAAGCGAGCGCAGGCGGUUUUUUAAGUCUGAUGUGAAAGCCUUCGGCUCAACCGAAGAAGUGCAUCGGAAACUGGGAAACUUGAGUGCAGAAGAGGACAGUGGAACUCCAUGUGUAGCGGUGAAAUGCGUAGAUAUAUGGAAGAACACCAGUGGCGAAGGCGGCUGUCUGGUCUGUAACUGACGCUGAGGCUCGAAAGUAUGGGUAGCAAACAGGAUUAGAUACCCUGGUAGUCCAUACCGUAAACGAUGAAUGCUAAGUGUUUGGAAGGGUUUCCGCCCUUUCAGUGCUGCAGCUAACGCAUUAAGCAUUCCGCCUGGGGGAGUACGGCCGCAAGGCUGAAACUCAAAGGAAUUGACGGGGGCCCGCACAAGCGGUGGAGCAUGUGGUUUAAUUCGAAGCUACGCGAAGAACCUUACCAGGUCUUGACAUACUAUGCAAAUCUAAGAGAUUAGACGUUCCCUUCGGGGACAUGGAUACAGGUGGUGCAUGGUUGUCGUCAGCUCUUGUCCUGAAAAUUUUGGGUUAAUUCCCCCAACGAGCCCAACCCUUAUUAUCAAUUGCCACCAUUAAAUUGGGCCUCCUGUUGAG